This 977-nucleotide ribosomal RNA is filed under the name Pediococcus pentosaceus. Its description in RNAcentral is "bacterial SSU rRNA". It matches the Rfam family "Bacterial small subunit ribosomal RNA", at positions 40 to 967 of the family's 1533-position model. Lineage: Bacteria; Bacillati; Bacillota; Bacilli; Lactobacillales; Lactobacillaceae. The record is from RNAcentral.
CGCCUUCGCUACCGCUUAUAAUGCAGUCGAACGACUUCCGUUAAUUGAUUAUGACGUACUUGUACUGAUUGAGAUUUUAACACGAAGUGAGUGGCGAACGGGUGAGUAACACGUGGGUAACCUGCCCAGAAGUAGGGGAUAACACCUGGAAACAGAUGCUAAUACCGUAUAACAGAGAAAACCGCAUGGUUUUCUUUUAAAAGAUGGCUCUGCUAUCACUUCUGGAUGGACCCGCGGCGUAUUAGCUAGUUGGUGAGGUAAAGGCUCACCAAGGCAGUGAUACGUAGCCGACCUGAGAGGGUAAUCGGCCACAUUGGGACUGAGACACGGCCCAGACUCCUACGGGAGGCAGCAGUAGGGAAUCUUCCACAAUGGACGCAAGUCUGAUGGAGCAACGCCGCGUGAGUGAAGAAGGGUUUCGGCUCGUAAAGCUCUGUUGUUAAAGAAGAACGUGGGUAAGAGUAACUGUUUACCCAGUGACGGUAUUUAACCAGAAAGCCACGGCUAACUACGUGCCAGCAGCCGCGGUAAUACGUAGGUGGCAAGCGUUAUCCGGAUUUAUUGGGCGUAAAGCGAGCGCAGGCGGUCUUUUAAGUCUAAUGUGAAAGCCUUCGGCUCAACCGAAGAAGUGCAUUGGAAACUGGGAGACUUGAGUGCAGAAGAGGACAGUGGAACUCCAUGUGUAGCGGUGAAAUGCGUAGAUAUAUGGAAGAACACCAGUGGCGAAGGCGGCUGUCUGGUCUGCAACUGACGCUGAGGCUCGAAAGCAUGGGUAGCGAACAGGAUUAGAUACCCUGGAGUCCAUGCCGUAACGAUGAUUACUAAAGUGUUUGCAGGGUUUCCGCCCUUCAGUGCUGCAGCUAACGCAUUAAGUAAUCCGCCUGGGGAGUACGACCGCAAGGUUGAGACUCCAAAGAAUUGACGGGGGCCCGCCACAAGCCGUUGAGCAUGUGUUUAUUUCGAAGCUUACGCGAAAU